GGGAAAGGAAUUCUGAGGAAAGGCAUUCCUUCUAGCUCACGCAAAGUUAAGUUAUAGUCUGGAUUUCACCUGCAUGCUGACUGUAAAUCUGGAGAUGAUGACUACUAUGAAAAUCUGUGUUGAGAUGAAGUAUCCUGAGAGUUCUAGGGGAAGUAUUUAUGGGAAACCUAUAUGCUGGAAUGACUGACAGGAAGGUGAGAAGCCAGAGCUCAAAGGUGGAGAAGAAGCACCAAGAACUGGUUCUAAAGGAAUAAGAUGAGGAGGAAAAAAAGAAUCAUGAGAUCAGGAAGAAAUGCAACCAGAAAUUGGUGAUGAAGAGAAGUCUGAAAUUGGUUGACAUGGCUGGCUUAGAAUAAAAAGGAGGCACAAUUCAUGAACAUCAGAGAUUAUGUGGGCUUUAUACUCAAGUAGACAAACUUCAUGAAAGAGAAGCUGAGAGAGUUCAAUAUAGGUGUAAUAAAACUAGUGCCAUAUAAGACGCAAUGGUGAAGUGGGACUUUAUAGUGGAAAAUAUUAUAUUCCAAGCCAAGGACUUGUUUUGUCUGUUUUACAAAUCCUGAGAAGUUUAUAUGCGGAAAGUGGCAUGAUCAAAGUUUUUUUUUAAGAUAAGUCUGGAGACUGUAAACUUCCAGGGCUGAGGGAUAGAUUCUGUGCCAUUAUUGCUGAAUCAACCAAUAGAACCAGCAUAGUACCUUGGACAAAGAACUUUACAAGAAAGGGUUUUAUUUUUAAUAUAUUCCAAGAAAGGAGGGAGGUAUCAAAACAGUCAUCAAGGAAGACACAGGAACAUUGUUAGGUGUUCUCAUCCUAGUUUCAUUAUUUAGCAUGAUUUGCAUUUUGAUUUCCAUAGGAGUACCAUUAUCUUUUCAAGGCCUAAAGUUUUUAAAUUCUGUCCUGUGUUUCUUAUUUGUUUUCAUGAAAUUUCAUGACUUUCAUACCAGGGUCUAAUACUAUAAGGUACCUUAAAUGUUUGUUGGAUGAAUAAACCUUUACAUUUGAAAAUACUUUUUGCUGAAGGCAGAAGAUCUUAGGACACGUUUGGAAACAUUUAACAAAUACAGUCUUUCUCUUUUUAACUUAGUGUAUACUGAAAUCUUGCCACAGUGCCAACAAUCAGGUAAUCCACCAAGCAACCAGCCAGUCGCCCAACCAACCAACCAACAAAAAUGUAUUUAUUGAGCCUCUACUAUGUACCCAGUACCAUGCUAAGCAUUAGAAGGUGUAUAGCAUGGUUUCCCUGAUUAAGGGACUGAACACUCUUUGGUUAUAUGAUAAUCAAACUUAAAAGGUUGAAUUGAAUUUAAUGAUGUUCUUUUGGUACUUUAAUUAUUACACCAAUGGAUGGAUAUUUUGUUCCAAAUACUGCACUAUAAUAAACAAGGUUCUGGGAUAAUAUUUCUGCAUUUGACACAUGCAUUUUCAACUAUUCUAGCUCACUAGAGUAGAAAAUAUUAUUUUUAAAGAAGACAGUCACCCAUUUUAUCUCUGCUGAAUAUCUUUUGUUAGUGACAAAAUAAUAAACCUCAUGUUACCUUGCCUUUCUACCUAUACCUUUUCGCUCUCUAUGACUUUUAGUUUUUGUAUAAUGCUUUAAUAUUCAUGUAAGUAUAGAUGACUAUGCUAUUUAAUAAUGCAACAACUGCUUCAGGGACGGUAUCCAUGCUGCUGGUUAGAGAAAGUAAGAGUAUCAGAAAGAUCAUGUUCAUAAAUCUGACUUUAUUAUUUACUUUUCCAGCUCUUUCCAUUUUUGAUCUGUAUAGCCUUGUGUAUUUUAACUACAAUCGUAAGACUGACUAGACUGUGAAUACGUACAUCCCUAUGUGUGCCUCUAUUUGUGUUGAGCCAAUGUAGGAAAGCAAACUAUAAAUUUGGUGUCUGAAUGUCCAUCCAUUGAAGACAAGAUAGCCUCUUUUCAAGUUAAGAGAAUCUUGUAUGACCACUGAGGGUGUGAGAUCUUAUUCAGCUUCUUCAGCAUCAUCUCAUGUGGUUGAUCACUAUUUCUCUUAAGCAAUUUCUUCACUUGGUUUCCAGGACAUGACCUUCUCCUGGCUUUCAAUCUUACUGUUUUUUUUCAAUGUUCUCUUCAUACCUUUUUUUUUUAAAGAACCGUUUCACUUCUCUGCUAUCUUUUACAUGAGUUCAUCCAAUCUUAUGGAUUUCAACAUCACCCAUAUGUCAAUUACUCUCCUCCAAAUCAAUAUCUCCAGGCACAAUUUCUCCUCUAAACUUCAGGUUCAAUUAUUUAUUCAACGCCAGAAGGUCCCAUAAGUCACCUCAAACUUAAUAUGUGAAAAACUGUUUAUCCCUGAAUCUUCCAUUCUCAGUACCUGAAACCACCAUUCAGGACAAAAACUUCAGAACCACCUUUGAUCUCUUCUCCUUUCUUAAUCUCAGUGUUCAAAAAUCUAUCUUGUCAUGGCUACCUCCAAAAUAUAUACUUAACCCACUCUCUUCUCUCCACCACCCCCCUUCUCGCAGGUAUCAUGAGAUCUUCCCUGGACUACUCUAAUAGUGUCUUAACUGGUCAGAGAGAAGCAGAGAGCUUCUCCCUUUUCUGCUGACAGUCUCUUCUCAACACAGGAGCCAGAUUAAUUUUUUUACAAAAUAUAAAUCUUAUUGUUCUAGUCCUCUGCUAAAUGGUCAUUCACCAUGUUCUGAACAAAAUCCAGGAGCUUUUCUGUGGCCCACAAGGUCCUCCAAGAUCAGCCUGUGGUAUCUUCCCAACUCCAUAUGCCUCCUAGCUACAUUGACUUCCUUGCUGUUCCUCAUCGGAACAACACAGUGCAACUGAAGGUCCUUAGAUGCUUCUAUUCCUUCUGCUGGUAUGUCUUACCUCACAUAACUGAGGUUUCUGUUCAAAUGUCCUGUCCUCAGCCAUUUCGUGAGUGUUCUAUUCUCUAAUUGUGCUUUGUCUUCAUAGCAUCUUUCUGAUAUGCUACUAAGAACAGAUUUAUCUCCUUUACAUUCUGUCUCUCCCAGUAAAAUAUUUCAUGAAGAAGGGACUUAAUUUACUGGGAUAUACUUAAUGUCUAGAAUAGUGUUUUACAUACAAUUUUUUUUUUCUCAGUCAAUAAAUUGAGAUAAGCAGAAUAGCAUUUAUUAAGGCAGGAAGCAGUUCAGUCUUUUUUGUCUGUCUCAUCCUCCCAAACUGAGUGGCCUCUGGUGGUUUUGGAAUACUUGCUUAUACAUCAGAGGGAACUUGGUAUUUGCAAGUGAACACGUAAUAGUUGUAGAACGAACACCUUUCUUCCCAAAUGGGCCAAUAAAGGAGCUGCUGCUGAGAAGCCACAAACAGCGCAGUCACCCUGUGAGGGGCUCAUCGGCCUCAGCACAGAGAAGGGAGGAUCACCUUUCUACCAGUGUGGGACAGGAGAAGGAAGCUCUAGCACAACAAGCAUAGAAGGCUAGGUAGCUUGGGCUAGUUCUUUAAUCUCUCUAAGCUUAGUUUUCUCAGCCAUUAAAGGAAGCUUGUGACAAAUCUUCUAUGCAGAAGAAUUACAAAUAACAAAUGUAGCUGUGUAAGGUGGUGAAGCGUAACGCUCUCCUUGGUAAGUGCGGGCUAUAGAAAAUGACUUUCUUUGAAAGACUAGAGUAUGAGAAGAAGGGCGGGGGUGGGGGAGAGAAAACAAGGGCGGUAAUAAUUUUACGGUGGAGAAAUAUGACAAACAGGACGUUAGCCAGGUGACAAAGAUUCACAUCAGGUGAUGUCACAUUGAUAAUACAUACUUUAGAUAUGAUGUGUUAAGAGUGGUGCUUUAUUCCUGUAGUUUUCCUCCAAAAAAUCCACAGCCCCAGUAUAACCAUGGGAAGUCUCACACGAAUCUCAGCUAAGGAAGAUUCUACACGACACCUGACCAGCCAGCAUUCCUCAAAACUGUCAAGGUCCUCAAAAGCAAAGAAAGUCUAUAAACUGCCACAGCCAAGAGGAGCCCAAGGAGGCAGGGCAUGAUGAGUCUUUUUCAUGAUGGCAGCACUGCAGUUUCCACAGUCAGUCAGAGAUGUCUCACUGCAUCAAACGUCUUUGAGUGGGGCCAUUUCACCAGCAUGUCUCAGGACGUCCCCUGGCAAGUUUCUCAGGCGCCCGUCUGUGUCAUGAGUGAUGGAGGGUUAUCUGCAAUACUUUGCUAUUUUUCUUUUUUUAGUUUUCAAAAUAAAUACUUUUAUGAGGUUUUUGCAGUUGUGCUAUUAAGUAUAGAUAUAUAAUUUAUUAAGCACAUAUGAUUUCACUAGAAUAUUUAACUGCAUUUAAAAUAUACCCAGAAACUAACAAUAGACUACAAUUAUAUUUCUUAUUCAUAUUCUAACAGAUAAUCCCUUUUACAAAAUGUUCCUUUGUCCCCUAGAGCUGUUACAUUGGAUGGAAAUGUACAAACUUUCAGGUACAAAGUUGUCUCUAUUCUCUUCUUUUCCCAAGGUGCACUGCAAGCAAUGAAUAAAAGCUUAUGUUUCCCUUUCUCUUUCAUCAACUUUUAGCCCAAUAGUGAAAUUGGGUACAUAAAAACAAAAAUUCACCUUUUACCUUGAAUUUCAGUGUUGAUGCAGAUGCAAUUAGUUCCUACCCUUCCUCCCAUUUACAUUGAGGGGAUUAGAGAAGAAGCUCUGAACAUUUUGAGAUCCUUAAGUUGGUUUCUAUGAACUCCGAGUGGUGCUAAUAGCAUUUUCAGAAAGGAAUUUUUACUUACUAGCUGAGAAGAAAAAGAACAUUGUAACCCUUUGAAAAGAGAGUUGCUAAAAGAGUUUUCUAUUAUUAACCUAUCAAACUCUUACAGAAUCAAUCGGAAAUGGGCAAUUCUGUUUUCCUUGUCUUUGCCUCAGCAUAUACUGUCAAUUAAGCCAAAUAAAGCUCCAGAAGAAGUGGUAGUAAAGCUGGUUGCAAAUCAAGAGGGAUUCAAUUCUAGAGAAGAAACCGUGAAACUCUUUUGAUUAAGAAUUUGAGCAGAACUUAAAUUCUAACCUCAGAGUCAGUAGAUACUGCUAAAUAUCUACAGAUUUUACAAACUAUAUUGAACAGCAGAUGAGCAAUCUGGGAUGCUGGCUGCAAAACUGAUGAACUCUGAAUCCUGGAGCUUUGUAAUACGUUUUUUUCUUUCUUCAAUUAUAAACUAGAUAAAUUAGUACUUUCCCUACUCUUGUUUCACCCAUUAUUGUCCAAGGAAAACUGAAUUAGCUUUCCUUAAACAGUUCUGAGACACUCAUAAAAGUUCCACAUAUGAAUUAUUUGCUUUGCUUUUUUUCCCAAAUGGAAUAACACAUAUCUUUUUUUUUUUUUUGCCUCUACAAACUGUCAGCUCUUUUAGAAUUGAACUGUGCCGCAUAAAACAACUACUGCAUAUUUUUUCCUUUUACAUCUAUUCAGGCUGAUUUUCCAUCCCAUAGCUUAGUGACUUAGCUAUCACACUCUACUGAAAAGAACUCUUUGAGUGUUGAAUGAAAAUCCACUUGCCCUUCUUGCUUUCUUCUCACCCUCUGCAGGGAAAUUUUCACUCCAGUGAGCUCUGAGAAGAUGCAUUGUUACACCCUGCUGAGCCAGAACAGAAGACUAUGGAUGAAUAAAUACCAACACAGUGUAUCAUUUCUGUACUAAACACAGAAUUAGCCACUGGCCUCUACCUAAUGAGUCUAUAAUCUAACUAGACAGGUUGACAACACCCAGAAGGGAAAAGAUAAGCACGCACAUCAAUGCAGUGAAUUAAAAUGGAAAAAGUGGCAUAUUAAGAUGUUUGUCAAUGUAAAAUCACCCUGACACUAACUUAUAACUGAAGCACUGUUUUGCAGUUUCCAAAAUAUUUUUAUAGUCACUGUCUUACCUGUCUUACACUAUGAUGCCAGUGGUUUACUGGGCAAGGAUAUCAGAUACAUACUUGGGUUUCAGAUAAUAAUGAACAGGGUAUAAUGCAAGUUCUCAGUAUUGAACUGUAAUGAUCCAAUUCCUGUAAGUGAUUUUUCUCUGAGGACCUCAUUCCCCAUUUCAACAUCUCAGCCAUGUGAGCAAACGGCAUUCAGGCUUUUUCCUUGGAGCAAAAGAGACGUCGUAUGUUUGAAUUGAUGUAUUACUAAAAACAAAAAAUAUGUUUCUACAUCCUAUGGAAAAGUGAAUUCUCUUGGGAUCAUGUCUCAACUAAAACUACAGUCCUUCUUCUGCCCCAGGUUUGAAACUGAAGCAGGAGGUAGUUUGGAAUUAGGAGCCUCAGAGACCUGCCCUGAAAUCCUACUUCAUUACACCUUAGUCUAAGUAGUUCGGCCAGUUUUACAUAUUCACAGGUUUCUUUUCACAGAAGAUAGUUUCCCCAGAACUGCAAUGAUCAUGAGAAAUCUCCUCAGAGCUCUAAGUUGUGUGCUUAGAUAACUUGUCUAUCUAAGUGACAUACUUGAAAAAUAUUACUUCCUAGGUCUUGCUCCAAGAAGUUCUGAAACACCUUUAAUUCAGUACUUCUUAAUAACAAAAGGUAUCAUUUCCUGGUGAAACAUGUGAAAUGACUACAAGAUAUUUAUAUGCUGGCUUUCUCCCAGCAAAACAUUCAGGCAUAUGGCAAGGAAAAACAUUCUAUCAUAAAGUACCAUGAUUUCUGUGCAUUGACCUUGAAGUUUUCUUUUUAGCCAGCCAGAUAGAGGUAUAUUGGAUAUGCAGACAGUUAUAUAGGUUAGUGAAAAGGGAAUAGAUAUGUUUUCUAACUUUCCCUAAAUAUCUUUUCCCAUUAAUAAAAAAUAUGGACUUUGU
This is a non-coding RNA of Odocoileus virginianus texanus, 6718 nucleotides long. The record is from RefSeq and is a predicted model, not a curated record. Lineage: Eukaryota; Metazoa; Chordata; Mammalia; Artiodactyla; Cervidae.